ACUCCUGCGGGAGGCAGCAGUGGGGAAUAUUGGACAAUGGGCGCAAGCCUGAUCCAGCCAUGCCGCGUGAGUGAUGAAGGCCCUAGGGUUGUAAAGCUCUUUCACCGGUGAAGAUAAUGACGGUAACCGGAGAAGAAGCCCCGGCUAACUUCGUGCCAGCAGCCGCGGUAAUACGAAGGGGGCUAGCGUUGUUCGGAUUUACUGGGCGUAAAGCGCACGUAGGCGGACUAUUAAGUCAGGGGUGAAAUCCCGGGGCUCAACCCCGGAACUGCCUUUGAUACUGGUAGUCUUGAGUUCGAGAGAGGUGAGUGGAAUUCCGAGUGUAGAGGUGAAAUUCGUAGAUAUUCGGAGGAACACCAGUGGCGAAGGCGGCUCACUGGCUCGAUACUGACGCUGAGGUGCGAAAGCGUGGGGAGCAAACAGGAUUAGAAACCCUGUAGUCCCAUGAU
RNAcentral lists this ribosomal RNA (449 nucleotides) under uncultured organism. Its description in RNAcentral is "partial 16S ribosomal RNA". It matches the Rfam family "Bacterial small subunit ribosomal RNA", at positions 335 to 801 of the family's 1533-position model. The record is from RNAcentral.